ACACCAGCCACUGCCCUUCCAUGACAUGGGGACAAGAGAGGGCAAAAGUUCAUCCUACCAGGGAGCAACUCAGGGCAGGAGAUGGGGAAGGAGGAGAAGCAGGAAGGAAAGAGCUCAGUUUGGGGGUGCACAUGACAUCUUGGUGGGACAUCUGAGGCCCACACCCACCUGCUGUCCCUGACUCCCAUGGUGGCCUCCUAGUGUGAAGGCCUGGGGGGAGGCAGACGCCAUGCCCUUCACUCUCCCUCCCUGUCCCCAUGGCUCCUGGGUGGGGGGCAUCUCUGGGUUGAUACCUGAGAGCGGGAUCUGGGAGUCCCUGCAGAGACAUCAGCCUGUCUGUCUUGAUGGUGCAGAGGAGGCUCCAGCUGGGUGGGACCACCAGGGGAGGGACGUCUGCUCUGCUGGCUCAGCCUAGUGUGGACCCACCUCCAGGCCUCUGGCUGCAAUGACUUUCUCUUUCACUUUGCAAUGGCCUUGGGUCCUGCCUCAAGGAGCAGCCUGUCUUUGUCACAGGUCCCUCUACACAGGGGAGGGCCCCAGAGAAAACCAGAAACAGGGUGAAAGACUGAGUAAGAUAAGCAUCCCAUGGCCUCCCACACCAGCGCCAGAACAGGAAGGGGGAGGGGCCAAGACUCACAAGGCCUUGGGAGAUCACUUUUUUUUUUGAGACAGAGUCUCGCUCUCUCACCGAGGCUGGAGUACAGUGGCACGAUCUUGACUCACUGCAACCUCCGCCUCCCGGGUUCAAGCGAGCCUCCUGAGUAGCUGGGAUUACAGGUGCCCACCACCACACCCGGCUAAUUUUUGUAUUUUUAGUAGAGACGGGGUUUCUGCAUUUUGGUCAGGCUGGUCUGGAACUCCUGACCUCGUGAUCCGCCUGCCUCAGCCUCCCAAAGUGCUGGGAUUACAGGCAUGAGACACCGUGCCUGGCUGGGAGGUCAUUUUAAGGAGGGCUGCCCAACUGCAAGGGCGCUGUAAGCAGGAAGUGAAACCACAGCGCUUCAAAAAAAAGAGCGGGACUGGGACAAGCGUAUCUAAGAGGCUGAACAUGAAUCCACAGAUCAGAAAUCCGAUGGAGCGGAUGUAUCGACGCACAUUCUACUACAACUUUGAAAAUGAACCCAUCCUCUAUGGUCGGCGCUACACCUGGCUGUGCUACGAAGUGAAAAUAAAGAAGGACCCCUCAAAGCUCCCUUGGGACACAGGGGUCUUUCCAGGCCAGCCUCAGUACCACGCAGAAAUAUACUUCCUCUCUUGGUUCUGUGGCAACCAGCUGCCUGCUUACAAGCACUUCCAGAUCACCUGGUUUGUAUCCUGGAACCCUGCCCGGACUGUGGCAAAAAGGUGACCGAAUUCCUGGCUGAGCACCGCAAUGUCACCCUGACCAUCUCCGCCGCCCGCCUCUACUACUACCGGGGUAAAGAUUGGCGGAGGGCGCUCUGCAGGCUGCAUCAGGCAGGGGCUCGAGUGAAGAUCAUGGACUAUAAAGAAUUUGCAUACUGCUGGGAAAACUUUGUGUACAAUGAAGGUCACAGCCUAUCAUGCCUUGGGACAAAUUCGAUGGGACAAUUAUGCAUCUCUGCACCUCAAGCUAAAGGAGAUUCUCAGAAACCCAAUGGAGGCAAUGUAUCCACACAUAUUCUACUUCACUUUAAAAACUGCACGAAAGCCUAUGGUCGGAACGAAAGCUGGCUGUGCUUCACCAUGGAAAUUAUAAAGCAGUGUUCAACUGUCUCCUGGAAGAGGGGGCUGCCUCUCCGAAACCAGGCCGAUCCUGAGAGCCGUUGUCAUGCAGAAAGGUGCUUCUCUCCUGGUCUCAUGAGGACAUACUGUCUCCUAACACAGACUACCAGGUCACCUGUACACUCCUGAGCCCUUGCCUAGAUUGUGCAGGGAGGGCUGAGUUCCUGGCCCGGCACAGUAAUGUGAAGCUGCUCAUCUAUACCUCUCCGCCUAGCUACUUCUGGGCAUACAGAUUACUGGCAGGGGCUCCGCAGCCUGAUGUGAGGAAGGGGCCUGGGAGAUCAUGGCUACGAAGAUUUUAAAUGUUGUUGGGAAAACUGUGUACAAUGGUGAUGCAGAGCUGCUCAAGCCUUGGAAGGGACUAAACAGCAAUUUUCAUUCCUGGACAGCAAGCUGCAGGAGAUUCUCGAGUGAGGGGUCUCCCCAGGCCUCAUGGUCUGUCUCCUCUAGC
Non-coding RNA from Chlorocebus sabaeus (green monkey), 2194 nucleotides. The record is from RefSeq and is a predicted model, not a curated record. NCBI's taxonomy places the organism in Eukaryota, Metazoa, Chordata, Mammalia, Primates, Cercopithecidae.